Molecule: ribosomal RNA, 237 nt
Filed under: uncultured bacterium
Lineage: Bacteria
Description: partial 16S ribosomal RNA
Rfam family: Bacterial small subunit ribosomal RNA
Source: RNAcentral
CGAACGGGUGAGUAACGCGUGAGGAACCUGCCUCAAAGAGGGGGACAACAGUUGGAAACGACUGCUAAUAUCGCAUAAGCCCACGGGUCGGCAUCGAUCUGAGGGAAAAGGAGUGAUCCGCUUUGAGAUGGCCUCGCGUCCGAUUAGCUAGUUGGUGAGGUAACGGCCCACCAAGGCGACGAUCGGUAGCCGGACUGAGAGGUUGAACGGCCACAUUGGGACUGAGACACGGCCCAG